This 546-nucleotide ribosomal RNA is filed under the name uncultured bacterium. Its description in RNAcentral is "bacterial SSU rRNA". It matches the Rfam family "Bacterial small subunit ribosomal RNA", at positions 240 to 803 of the family's 1533-position model. The record is from RNAcentral.
AUUAGAUAGUUGGUGGGGUAAUGGCCUACCAAGUCUACGAUCUAUAGCUGGUUUUAGAGGAUGAUCAGCAACACUGGGACUGAGAUACGGCCCAGACUCCUACGGGAGGCAGCAGUGGGGAAUCUUAGACAAUGGGCGCAAGCCUGAUCUAGCCAUGCCGCGUGUGUGAUGAAGGUCUUAGGAUCGUAAAGCACUUUCGCCAGGGAUGAUAAUGACAGUACCUGGUAAAGAAACCCCGGCUAACUCCGUGCCAGCAGCCGCGGUAAUACGGAGGGGGUUAGCGUUGUUCGGAAUUACUGGGCGUAAAGCGUACGUAGGCGGAUCAGAAAGUAUAGGGUGAAAUCCCAGGGCUCAACCCUGGAACUGCCUUGUAAACUCCUGGUCUUGAGUUCGAGAGAGGUGAGUGGAAUUCCAAGUGUAGAGGUGAAAUUCGUAGAUAUUUGGAGGAACACCAGUGGCGAAGGCGGCUCACUGGCUCGAUACUGACGCUGANGUACGAAAGUGUGGGGAGCAAACAGGAUUAGAUACCCUGGUAGUCCACACCGA